CAGACCUCUGAUCAGAAAAGACUACCCGCUGAGU
RNAcentral lists this ribosomal RNA (34 nucleotides) under Pterygoneurum subsessile. Its description in RNAcentral is "partial 26S ribosomal RNA". The record is from RNAcentral. Lineage: Eukaryota; Viridiplantae; Streptophyta; Bryopsida; Pottiales; Pottiaceae.